Molecule: transfer RNA, 534 nt
Filed under: Oscillatoriales cyanobacterium Alignment_Isolate2a
Lineage: Bacteria; Bacillati; Cyanobacteriota; Cyanophyceae; Oscillatoriales
Description: partial 16S-23S ribosomal RNA intergenic spacer
Rfam family: tRNA (bases 259-331)
Source: RNAcentral
UUUUAGGGAGACCAUCUGAGUCUUGACCGAACCUAAACUAUAGGUCAAGAACCAGUUAUCCCUGGUCGUUCGAGAUAGUCAUGUCAAAGCUUUCAAACUAUUAACUGGUUCAGUUAACGGGCUAUUAGCUCAGUUGGUUAGAGCGCACCCCUGAUAAGGGUGAGGUCCCUGGUUCAAAUCCAGGAUGGCCCACCUGAACGUUAAAAAUCUGUAAUUAAACACUAAAAGUGUUUAACGAUCAAUUUUUAAUCACCCAGUGGGGGUAUAGCUCAGUUGGUAGAGCGCCUGCCUUGCACGCAGGAAGUCAGCGGUUCGAGUCCGCUUACCUCCACUCUCACUAACACCAGCGACCGCGAAAGUCAACAAAUUAAAUCGGACACAGAAAUCAGCACCUAGGUCAGCUUAAAAGCUCAUCAGAAUGCUGGAGUCUCGACUCUAGAAAGAACCUUGAAAACUGCAUAGAAAUUAAGUCAUCAUCAAGCAGGUAAGUCAUCCGAGCAAUCGGAAAAUCUUACGAGCGACCAUCAAAAACAA